Megalopta genalis is the source of this 165-nucleotide non-coding RNA. Lineage: Eukaryota; Metazoa; Arthropoda; Insecta; Hymenoptera; Halictidae. The record is from RefSeq and is a predicted model, not a curated record.
GCUAUUUUAAUACAAAGUGGUUACAGUAAAAGAAAAGCUAUGAUGCUUCAGCUUAGUACUGCAGUAGGUGCUUUAUUAGGAACUUGUGUAUCAUUGCUUGCAGAAGGCAUGGGUGAUCUUGCAACUAUGUGGAUUCUUCCAUUCACAGCAGGUGGAUUUAUUUAU